CUAGUCUUAUCGGUGGAUCACUCGGCUCGUGGAUCGAUGAAGAACGCAGCCAACUGCGAUAAUUAGUGUGAACUGCAGAAACCUUGAACACAGAACUUUCGAAUGCACAUUGCGCCAUUGGAGUGACAUCCAUUGGCACGCCUGGUUCAGGGUCGUAAC
Molecule: ribosomal RNA, 159 nt
Filed under: Globodera rostochiensis
Lineage: Eukaryota; Metazoa; Nematoda; Chromadorea; Rhabditida; Heteroderidae
Also listed under: 5 other names
Description: 5.8S ribosomal RNA
Rfam family: 5.8S ribosomal RNA
About the family: 5.8S ribosomal RNA (5.8S rRNA) is a component of the large subunit of the eukaryotic ribosome. It is transcribed by RNA polymerase I as part of the 45S precursor that also contains 18S and 28S rRNA. Functionally, it is thought that 5.8S rRNA may be involved in ribosome translocation.
Source: RNAcentral